UCCCUGUACAACAAGGCGUUUUAUGGAC
RNAcentral lists this small RNA (28 nucleotides) under Bombyx mori (domestic silkworm). RNAcentral's name for it is "ovarian small RNA-27412". The record is from RNAcentral. Lineage: Eukaryota; Metazoa; Arthropoda; Insecta; Lepidoptera; Bombycidae.